This 582-nucleotide ribosomal RNA is filed under the name Cystofilobasidium infirmominiatum. Its description in RNAcentral is "eukaryotic LSU rRNA". It matches the Rfam family "Eukaryotic large subunit ribosomal RNA", at positions 81 to 657 of the family's 3401-position model. Lineage: Eukaryota; Fungi; Basidiomycota; Tremellomycetes; Cystofilobasidiales; Cystofilobasidiaceae. The record is from RNAcentral.
UAGUACGGCGAGUGAGCGGGAAGAGCUCAAAUUUAAAAUCUGGCAGGCUACGCUUGUCCGAAUUGUAAUCUCGAGAAGUGUUUUCCGCGUUGGCCUGUGUACAAGUCCCUUGGAACAGGGCGUCAUAGAGGGUGAGAAUCCCGUCCUUGACACAGACACCCAAUGCUUUGUGAUACACUCUCAAUGAGUCGAGUUGUUUGGGAAUGCAGCUCAAAAUGGGUGGUAAAUUCCAUCUAAAGCUAAAUACUGGCGAGAGACCGAUAGCGAACAAGUACCGUGAGGGAAAGAUGAAAAGCACUUUGGAAAGAGAGUCAAACAGUACGUGAAAUUGUUGAAAGGGAAACGAUUGAAGUCAGUCGUGCCUGCCUAGAUUCAGCCUUCUGGUGUAUUUCUAGGUCGGCAGGUCAGCAUCAGUUUGGGGGGGUUAACAAGGGAGCUGGGAAUGUGGCAACCUCGGUUGUGUUAUAGCCCAGUUUCGCAUUGAUCUCGCUGGACUGAGGAACGCAGUGCGCCCGCAAGGGUUGGUCUUCGGACACAUUCGCACUUAGGAUGCUGGCAUAAUGGCUUUAAACGACCCGCUGA